Molecule: unclassified non-coding RNA, 341 nt
Filed under: soil metagenome
Description: partial contains 5.8S ribosomal RNA, internal transcribed spacer 2, and large subunit ribosomal RNA
Rfam family: 5.8S ribosomal RNA (bases 1-120)
Source: RNAcentral
GAUGAAGAACGCAGCGAAAUGCGAUAAGUAGUGUGAAUUGCAGAAUUCAGUGAAUCAUCGAAUCUUUGAACGCACAUUGCGGCCAUAGGUAUUCCUUUGGCCAUGCCUGUUCGAGCGUCAUUUACACCCUCAAGCCUAGCUUGGUGUUGGGCGUCUGUCCCGCCGUUUUCGCGCGCGGACUUGCCUCAAAGUCAUUGGCGGCGGUCGUGCCGGCCCCCUCGCGCAGCACAUUUGCGCUUCUCGGAGGCCCGGCGGAUCCGCGCUCCAGCAAGACCUUUCACGACUUGACCUCGGAUCAGGUAGGGAUACCCGCUGAACUUAAGCAUAUAAUAAGCGGAGGA